CCUUGACAUACUAAGAACUUUCCAGAGAUGGAUUGGUGCCUUCGGGAACUUAGAUACAGGUGCUGCAUGGCUGUCGUCAGCUCGUGUCGUGAGAUGUUGGGUUAAGUCCCGCAACGAGCGCAACCCUUUUCCUUAUUUGCCAGCGGGUAAUGCCGGGAACUUUAAGGAUACUGCCAGUGACAAACUGGAGGAAGGCGGGGACGACGUCAAGUCAUCAUGGCCCUUACGGCCAGGGCUACACACGUGCUACAAUGGUCGGUACAAAGGGUUGCUACCUCGCGAGAGGAUGCUAAUCUCAAAAAGCCGAUCGUAGUCCGGAUCGCAGUCUGCAACUCGACUGCGUGAAGUCGGAAUCGCUAGUAAUCGCGGAUCAGAAUGCCGCGGUCGAAUACGUUCCCGGGCCUUGUACACAUCGCCCGUCACACCAUGGGAGUUUGUUGCACCAGAAGUAGGUAGUCUAACCGCAAGGAGGACGCUUACCACGGUGUGGCCGAUGACUGGGGUGAAGUCGUAACAAGGUAAGCGUAGAUGA
This 532-nucleotide ribosomal RNA is filed under the name uncultured bacterium. RNAcentral describes it as "bacterial SSU rRNA". It matches the Rfam family "Bacterial small subunit ribosomal RNA", at positions 979 to 1509 of the family's 1533-position model. The record is from RNAcentral.